GAUGAACGCUGGCGGCGUGCCUAAUACAUGCAAGUCGAGCGAACAGACGAGGAGCUUGCUCCUCUGACGUUAGCGGCGGACGGGUGAGUAACACGUGGAUAACCUACCUAUAAGACUGGGAUAACUUCGGGAAACCGGAGCUAAUACCGGAUAAUAUAUUGAACCGCAUGGUUCAAUAGUGAAAGACGGUUUUGCUGUCACUUAUAGAUGGAUCCGCGCCGCAUUAGCUAGUUGGUAAGGUAACGGCUUACCAAGGCAACGAUGCGUAGCCGACCUGAGAGGGUGAUCGGCCACACUGGAACUGAGACACGGUCCAGACUCCUACGGGAGGCAGCAGCAGGGAAUCUUCCGCAAUGGGCGAAAGCCUGACGGAGCAACGCCGCGUGAGUGAUGAAGGUCUUCGGAUCGUAAAACUCUGUUAUUAGGGAAGAACAAAUGUGUAAGUAACUAUGCACGUCUUGACGGUACCUAAUCAGAAAGCCACGGCUAACUACGU
RNAcentral lists this ribosomal RNA (496 nucleotides) under uncultured bacterium. RNAcentral describes it as "partial 16S ribosomal RNA". It matches the Rfam family "Bacterial small subunit ribosomal RNA", at positions 28 to 506 of the family's 1533-position model. The record is from RNAcentral.